Molecule: ribosomal RNA, 429 nt
Filed under: Chloroflexota bacterium
Lineage: Bacteria; Bacillati; Chloroflexota
Description: Chloroflexi bacterium partial 16S ribosomal RNA
Rfam family: Bacterial small subunit ribosomal RNA
Source: RNAcentral
UGGGGAAUAUUGCACAAUGGGCGCAAGCCUGAUGCAGCCAUGCCGCGUGUAUGAAGAAGGCCUUCGGGUUGUAAAGUACUUUUAGUCGGGAGGAAGGUGGUAAGGUUAAUAACCUUAUCAAUUGACGUUACCGACAGAAGAAGCACCGGCUAACUCCGUGCCAGCAGCCGCGGUAAUACGGAGGGUGCAAGCGUUAAUCGGAAUUACUGGGCGUAAAGCGCACGCAGGCGGUUGAUUGAGUCAGAUGUGAAAUCCCCGGGCUUAACCCGGGAAUUGCAUCUGAUACUGGUCAGCUAGAGCCUUGUAGAGAGAGGUAGAAUUCCAUGUGUAGCGGUGAAAUGCGUAGAGAUGUGGAGGAAUACCGGUGGCGAAGGCGGCCCCCUGGACAAAGACUGACGCUCAGGUGCGAAAGCGUGGGGAGCAAACAGG